Long non-coding RNA from Clupea harengus (Atlantic herring), 932 nucleotides. NCBI's taxonomy places the organism in Eukaryota, Metazoa, Chordata, Actinopteri, Clupeiformes, Clupeidae. The record is from Ensembl.
GUUGUGCAGAGACAACGGGCUGCCUCGCUAAACGAUGCACACCUGUAACUCACGUGACCCUGGUUAUUAUUGAAACGAGAACGAGGGCGUCGUGCCUUUAUAAGACUGCGUUAAUGGUUCCGUGGAGUCAUCCCUUCCGUUGUUGUUUAUUGAUUGUUAAACAUGGCUUCAUUUGCAAAGGUGGUUGUGUGUGUCCUCAUUGCUUGUGUCUGUAAUGCAUUCGGUUUUCCGAAGAGAGAUGUGAACUUUAAGGCCUCUGCAGUUGACCGCCAAAGUGAUGAUGUGGUUGUCACCACAACACCCGUUCCCCACAACCAGACCACCUCUGCCCCUACUGAAGCUGGUGGUGGUGCAAGUGAAUAUGCUGUGGCUACUACCCCAGCACCUAAUCCACACAACCAGUCAACUUCUGCACAAACUGAAGUUACUGAUGAAGCCAGUGAAGAUGCUGUGGACCGCCAAAGUGAUGUGGUUUCCACCACAACACCCAAUCCCCACAACCAGACCACAUCUGCCCCUACUGAAGCUGAUGGAGCAAGUGAAGAUGAUUCAGAUGAUGAUGAUGCUGCAAGUGAAGAUGAUGAUUCUGCAAAUGAAGAUGAUGAUGCUGCAAGUGAAGAUGCUGUGGCUACCACCCCAACACCAAAUCCCCCAACUACAUCUCACCACACUGCAGCUACCGAUGAUGCAAGUGAGGGUGCUGUGGCUGCCUAAACUGGAACUACUGUAUCCCAUACGACUGAAGUCUGAUUCGACUGCUCCUCUGGUCACAAUAACCUGUCUGGACUUUUUGCCUCUACAUGUUGACUGCAAUAAAGGACAGAUUUUGUAUUUUUUUUAAUCAAAUGUUGUCUUGCCUUUUUCAAAUUGAGGCCUUGUCCUGUUUUGGUAGUGGAGAUGACUAUGAAGCCUCUUUUCUAACGUAUUUCCUG